Molecule: ribosomal RNA, 253 nt
Filed under: uncultured bacterium
Lineage: Bacteria
Description: partial 16S ribosomal RNA
Rfam family: Bacterial small subunit ribosomal RNA
Source: RNAcentral
UACGAAGGGUGCAAACGUUGCUCGGAAUCAUUGGGCGUAAAGCGCACGUAGGCGGCUUCGCAAGUCGGAUGUGAAAUCCCACGGCUCAACCAUGGACGUGCAUCCGAAACUGCAAGGCUUGAGUAUGGAAGAGGGUCGCGGAAUUCCCGGUGUAGAGGUGAAAUUCGUAGAUAUCGGGAGGAACACCAGUGGCGAAGGCGGCGACCUGGGCCAAUACUGACGCUGAGGUGCGAAAGCGUGGGGAGCAAACAGG